RNAcentral lists this ribosomal RNA (634 nucleotides) under Eisenoides carolinensis. RNAcentral's name for it is "partial 16S ribosomal RNA". It matches the Rfam family "Bacterial large subunit ribosomal RNA", at positions 1820 to 2827 of the family's 2925-position model. The record is from RNAcentral. Lineage: Eukaryota; Metazoa; Annelida; Clitellata; Crassiclitellata; Lumbricidae.
UUCUUGAUACUAAAUAAGAAGUAACUCCUGCCCAGUGACUUUAAUUCAACGGCCGCGGUAUCCUAACCGUGCAAAGGUAGCAUAAUCACUUGCCCAUUAAUUGUGGGCUGGAAUGAAAGGAUAAACGAAAUAAAGGCUGUCUCUAUAAGCUCAAUAAAAAUUAAUCUCUAAUUGAAGAACAUUAGAUAACAUCGAAGGACAAGAAGACCCUAUAGAGCUUUAUUCUAAUAAAAGCUAAAAUUUUUCUAAAAUUCGGUUGGGGCGACCAGGGAAAUUAUAAAACAUCCCUUAAUAACAGAUCAAUAAAUCAAUUAUAUGACCCUAAAACAAGAUCAACAAAACAAGCUACCUUAGGGAUAACAGGCUAAUUCCAUUAGAGAGUCCUUAUUAAUAAUGGAGUUUGGCACCUCGAUGUUGGCUUAGGGAAUCUCUACGGCGCAAAAGUCAUAUAAAGAUGGUUUGUUCAACCUAUAACACCCUACAUGAGCUGAGUUCAGACCGGCGUAAGCCAGGUUAGUUUCUAUCCUCGAUACACAAAUCUACUUAUAGUACGAAAGGACCUAAGUAAGAGUAAUAAUUAUAGCACUAGAAUGAAUAUAACAUAGACACUAAGCAACUAUAACCAUAAACUAUG